GGGGAGGAUGUAUGGCGUAGAUGGUAAACGUCUGCAGGAAUCCUUCUGGCAUGGUCUGUUGCUGGGUGGCAAUCACCUGGGAAAGAAGGUUGUGGGUUUGAAUCCCACUAUCCCCA
Ophidiomyces ophidiicola is the source of this 116-nucleotide non-coding RNA. Lineage: Eukaryota; Fungi; Ascomycota; Eurotiomycetes; Onygenales; Onygenaceae. The record is from the annotation of a RefSeq genome assembly.